CUCGAAAUAGAAAGAGCUAAUUUUAUUGUGAAAUAAAUACUUAUUAUUAUUAAUUAGAAAUGAAACGUUAUUCGUUUUCUAAUAUAUCUAGUUUUUUAAGAAAAAAGUUUAAUUUUAUUUCUGUUAAUAAUUUUAUUAUGGGAUAAGCUUUUAAUAUAAUUUUUAUAAGUUAUGAAUUUAGUAAAAGUUAUAGGAUUAGAAUUUUCCAUUUUUUAUAGAAUGUUAUAAUUAGUUAUUUUAAUUUUUUUAUUAAGAUUUAAUAUUUAAUUUAUUAUUUUUAGUAAUAAUGAUUGGAUUAGUAAAGUUUAUGUAAGGAACUCGGCAAUAUUGUUUUCACCUGUUUAAUAAAAACAUGGCCUUUUGAAUAUGAUUUAAGGUCUUACCUGCCCAAUGAUUUAAUGGCCGCAGUAUUUUGACUGUGCAAAGGUAGCAUAAUCAUUAGUUUUUUAAAUGAAAGCUGGAAUGAAUGGUUUGAUGAGAAAUUAGCUGUCUCUAGAAUUUUAAUUUUAAGUGAAAAAGCUUAAAUUUUAUAUAAAGACGAGAAGACCCUAUAGAGUUUUUUUGUUGGGGUGAUAUAAAAAUUAAAUUAACUUUUUAUUUUUAUGAAUAAUUGAUCCUGGAUUAUAAGAUCAAAUUACCUUAGGGAUAACAGCGUAAUUUUUUUUUGAAGUUCUU
This 675-nucleotide ribosomal RNA is filed under the name Blepegenes sp. NLG-2012. Its description in RNAcentral is "partial 16S ribosomal RNA". The stretch from base 312 to 493 matches the Rfam family "Bacterial large subunit ribosomal RNA", at positions 1707 to 2022 of the family's 2925-position model. Lineage: Eukaryota; Metazoa; Arthropoda; Insecta; Coleoptera; Tenebrionidae. The record is from RNAcentral.